CUGAACUCAGCGAAAAGCACGAGAGCACAACGUUGCAAACAGAAACUGAACUCUGACACAAGCCACUCUCAUGGCUGAAGUUUAUUUUCUAUUGAUUUUGAAGCUUGAGAAACAUCUCUUAUCACACAAAGACAGGCAACGGUCAGGACAGAUUAGGAGGUACUCUGAGUAUGGAGGGGCCAGAUGAGGAGACUGAGCAAAGCCGUUGCUAUAAGUAGCAACGCAGUGCAUCUCAUUCCCAGUGACAUCGCUCUGGAGAGGCAAAAGAGAAACACCAAAUUCUACAACUUGCUGCAGGUACAGCAGGAACAAGAGCUGCUGUGUCAUAUUAUGGAUCCUUGGCAUUUCAUUGUGAAGAGGAGUGAUCAUGAUAUUAGUUACUGGAGGUGAAGACAAUGAACAAGAACACUACAGUGUGAGCUAAAUGACUUUUGAGAUCUCCUAAGUCAAAGGACUGAAUCCAUCAGCAGGCAUAUACAGGUUUUAGUAACUUUGAUAUAAAAUUGGCUGAGUUAUCUAAGAUUUUGUUGGGAUUUUGUUAAUUGUCAUUUAAGUUCCAUUAGAAGUUAUAAAUUUGCAUUUGUCACUGCAGCGUUGUCUGUCUUUGCCCAGGGAUUGUAACUGACUGCAAUUCAACAUUCAGUGACAGAACUGCUUAACACUGUCCAGGCAACCCUGGCUACUUGUUUCUGCACCUGCACUGCAGUCUUUACUAGGCUAGCAUGAUUGUUUUGGUGCAUAGUGGUCUAGCCCAUGAUUUAACUGAAGAAAAGUAGGGAUUAUGAAAACUGGCACUGCCACUGGCUGUUUUUAUCUUUUCCUCCUAACUACAUGGUGUAUGAAAUUAAAUGGAACCAGGAACUUAGAGGAGACCUGACAAAAGGGUAUGGUGGUGUGGGAUAAACUGAAAAAAGGAUUAUUCCUGACAAACUCAAGGCAACAGCAUGCCUGUACCUCCAUUCCAGGGAAUAAGUUAAAGUAGAAAAAAGUUAUCCUGAAGCAAAUGGAAUCAUAUGAAUACAGAAAUACUUCUGAAAAAUCCAGCAUGUACUGGGGCUUGUAAGUCAGCUUUGUUCUGGUAUGACUACAUCCGUACCUACUGUGCUGGUGUAACAAUGUUAAUAUGAAUGUUCUCCUAACUGACAGAGUUAUGCUAAUAAAACUUUUACAGGUACAAGACCCCUAAAAAUU
This is a long non-coding RNA of Strigops habroptila (Kakapo), 1191 nucleotides long. RefSeq lists it as uncharacterized. The record is from RefSeq and is a predicted model, not a curated record. Lineage: Eukaryota; Metazoa; Chordata; Aves; Psittaciformes; Psittacidae. The transcript is spliced from 3 exons.